This 1145-nucleotide long non-coding RNA is filed under the name Nicotiana tabacum (common tobacco). Its description in RNAcentral is "long non-coding RNA (NTAB_LNC015138)". Lineage: Eukaryota; Viridiplantae; Streptophyta; Magnoliopsida; Solanales; Solanaceae. The record is from RNAcentral.
AGCUUUGUGUACAAAAUUUCCAAACGUCAGUAAUGAACUUAUGUUUUGUCAAUUAUUUUGUUUAACAUUUAGCUUACUUGUGUUUUAAAUUGAAGUUGGCAAAUGAGCUUUUUUAGCUUUUAAAAACCAGAAGUAAGGCAGUGUGUCUAAUUUUGAAGAGUUAACUAAAACAAGAAACAACUAGGCUUACAAUAGGGGCAAUGAUGCUGAUAAAUCAUUAUCUGGGUAUGUUGUGUGAUGAACUUGUAGCCAAUAUGAUUGGAUAGUUGGAUGAACGGCCAGCAUAAGCCUUUUUGCUUUGGUGAUAACUUAAGUAAGUUCUGAUAGGUUGUUCUCGGCAAAUCGUGAUUUCACCUACUAAAAAGUUGAAAAUUAGGUUUGUGGUAUUAGAAUAUAAAUCUUUUCUUGCUGGAAACCAAUGUAUGUACAUCGAUGAAUUAGUUUUGGUUUGCAAUUCAAUAAAUUUAUUUAAUGUUUAAUUUGGUUAACAACGCACAUUUUUAACCUAUUUGUAAGUUAUAGUUUAUGAUACUCUAAAUUUGUUGUUGAUGAAGAAGUAUUUGGGAUCCUUUGGUCUCUCCAAUGGAGUAAGAGGAACAAUUGAAGCUCUGAGAUUUUCUUAAAAUACAAUGUUCAACUACUUGAGGAAGAAGGACAGAGCUUUCUAAAUGCUUGAAGGAUAACAGACUGUUUGUCGAGACCUUGAGAGUUGUUGUUUUAAGUCUCAGUAGCUAAAUAUCCUGAUUGGAUUUUUCGAGAAAAGGUCCUCGCUUAAUUUAUCAGUUGUGAUAGCAUUUACUUAUUUUGUAUUUUUAUUUCCAUUCUUUACUUAAACUUGAUUAAUUAUUUUUAAUUUCACUUUUUUAUCUUAUUCUUUUGUUGAUUUUUAUACAUGAACCAUUGCUCUGAUUUUCAUAUGAUGUCAUCUUAAAACUGUUUAUGCUUCACUUUUCUGGUGACAGAAACUUGGAAGCACAAAAAUGCAUGUGCUGCCUGUAGCAGAGAAUGUCCUGAGGAGGUAUGUUGGUUAUAAGUACAAUCUGUUGUAGUUAUAUUUUGAAGGCAAAUUUUGUCCUGUACACCAACGAAUAAUGUUUGAACUAUAGAGUCCUCCAUAACAUAUUCUAAUUCUUUGUUAUGAAUUC